RNAcentral lists this ribosomal RNA (253 nucleotides) under uncultured bacterium. RNAcentral's name for it is "partial 16S ribosomal RNA". It matches the Rfam family "Bacterial small subunit ribosomal RNA", at positions 524 to 776 of the family's 1533-position model. The record is from RNAcentral.
UACGUAGGGCGCAAGCGUUAUCCGGAAUUAUUGGGCGUAAAGAGCUCGUAGGCGGUUUGUCGCGUCUGCCGUGAAAGCCCCGGGCUUAACCUGGGAACUGCGUUUGAUACGGAUGGGCUAGAGUUCGGGAGAGGAGAGUGGAAUUCCCAGUGUAGAGGUGAAAUUCGUAGAUAUUGGGAAGAACACCGGUGGCGAAGGCGGCUCUCUGGACCGAGACUGACGCUGAGGCGCGAAAGCGUGGGGAGCAAACAGG